This 253-nucleotide ribosomal RNA is filed under the name uncultured bacterium. Its description in RNAcentral is "partial 16S ribosomal RNA". It matches the Rfam family "Bacterial small subunit ribosomal RNA", at positions 524 to 776 of the family's 1533-position model. The record is from RNAcentral.
UACGUAGGGCGCAAGCGUUGUCCGGAAUUAUUGGGCGUAAAGAGCUCGUAGGCGGCCUGUUGCGUCCGCUGUGAAAUCCCGGGGCUCAACCCCGGGCCUGCAGUGGAUACGGGCUGGCUAGAGGCAGGCAGGGGAGAACGGAAUUCCUGGUGUAGCGGUGAAAUGCGCAGAUAUCAGGAGGAACACCGGUGGCGAAGGCGGGUCUCUGGGCCGAUAUUGACGCUGAGGAGCGAAAGCGUGGGGAGCAAACAGG